Molecule: ribosomal RNA, 253 nt
Filed under: uncultured bacterium
Lineage: Bacteria
Description: partial 16S ribosomal RNA
Rfam family: Bacterial small subunit ribosomal RNA
Source: RNAcentral
UACGUAGGGGGCAAGCGUUGUCCGGAAUCAUUGGGCGUAAAGAGCGUGUAGGCGGCCCGAUAAGUCCGCUGUGAAAGUCCAGGGCUCAACCCUGGGAUGCCGGUGGAUACUGUCGGGCUCGAGUCCGGAAGAGGAGUGUGGAAUUCCUGGUGUAGCGGUGAAAUGCGCAGAUAUCAGGAGGAACACCAAUGGCGAAGGCAGCACUCUGGGACGUGACUGACGCUGAGACGCGAAAGCCAGGGGAGCAAACGGG